Molecule: ribosomal RNA, 799 nt
Filed under: uncultured bacterium
Lineage: Bacteria
Description: bacterial SSU rRNA
Rfam family: Bacterial small subunit ribosomal RNA
Source: RNAcentral
AUAANUAGAGUGCUGUAGGGGAGACUGGAAUUCCUGGUGUAGCGGUGGAAUGCGCAGAUAUCAGGAGGAACACCGAUGGCGAAGGCAGGUCUCUGGGCAGUAACUGACGCUGAGGAGCGAAAGCAUGGGGAGCGAACAGGAUUAGAUACCCUGGUAGUCCAUGCUGUAAACGGUGGGCGUUAGGUGUGGGGACCGGUUUGGUUUCUGUGCCGUAGCUAACGCAUUAAGCGCCCCGCCUGGGGAGUACGGCCGCAAGGCUAAAACUCAAAGGAAUUGACGGGGGCCCGCACAAGCGGCGGAGCAUGUGGAUUAAUUCGAUGCAACGCGAAGAACCUUACCUGGGUUUGACAUGCACCAGACGGUUGUAGAGAUACGUACCUCCCUUUGUGGUUGGUGUGCAGGUGGUGCAUGGUUGUCGUCAGCUCGUGUCGUGAGAUGUUGGGUUAAGUCCCGCAACGAGCGCAACCCUUGUCUUAUGUUGCCAGCACUUUGGGUGGGGACUCAUGAGAGACUGCCGGGGUUAACUCGGAGGAAGGUGGGGAUGACGUCAAAUCAUCAUGCCCUUUAUGCCCAGGGCUUCACACAUGCUACAAUGGUUAGUACAACGCGCUGCGAGCCUGUGAGGGUGAGCGAAUCGCUGAAAGCUAAUCUCAGUUCGGAUUGGGGUCUGCAACUCGACCCCAUGAAGUCGGAGUCGCUGGUAAUCGCAGAUCAGCAAUGCUGCGGUGAAUACGUUCCCGGGCCUUGUACACACCGCCCGUCACGUCAUGAAAGUUGGUAACACCCGAAGCCCAUGGCC